AGAAAUUUAGGAUAACAA
Molecule: transfer RNA, 18 nt
Filed under: Sylvirana mortenseni
Lineage: Eukaryota; Metazoa; Chordata; Amphibia; Anura; Ranidae
Description: partial tRNA-Trp
Source: RNAcentral